RNAcentral lists this ribosomal RNA (451 nucleotides) under uncultured bacterium. Its description in RNAcentral is "bacterial SSU rRNA". It matches the Rfam family "Bacterial small subunit ribosomal RNA", at positions 29 to 524 of the family's 1533-position model. The record is from RNAcentral.
AGCGAACGCUGGCGGCAGGCCUAACACAUGCAAGUCGAGCGCUCGUAGCAAUACGAGAGCGGCAGACGGGAGAGUAACACGUGGGAACGUACCCUUUGGUUCGGAACAACCCAGGGAAACUUGGGCUAAUACCGGAUAAGCCCUUACGGGGAAAGAUUUAUCGCCGAAGGAUCGGCCCGCGUCUGAUUAGCUAGUUGGUGGGGUAACGGCCCACCAAGGCGACGAUCAGUAGCUGGUCUGAGAGGAUGAUCAGCCUCACUGGGACUGAGACACGGCCCAGACUCCUACGGGAGGCAGCAGUGGGGAAUAUUGGACAAUGGGCGCAAGCCUGAUCCAGCCAUGCCGCGUGGGUGAUGAAGGCCCUAGGGUUGUAAAGCCCUUUCGGCGGGAAGAUAAUGACGGUACCCGCAGAAGAAGCCCCGGCUAACUUCGUGCCAGCAGCCGCCGUAAC